RNAcentral lists this long non-coding RNA (32788 nucleotides) under Musa acuminata (dwarf banana). Its description in RNAcentral is "long non-coding RNA (MACU_LNC008405)". The record is from RNAcentral. Lineage: Eukaryota; Viridiplantae; Streptophyta; Magnoliopsida; Zingiberales; Musaceae.
CCAGUAGUAUACGAGAGGGGAGCAUUAGAUAGUAGCAAGAGGGAGUUCAGUCUGCUACUGACACUCAACAGGGAGCUGGCUUUCAGCACCUCACUUUUUCACUGUAACUGGGCAUUCAUUCCACUUUAACUUGACCCGGACUAAGGGUUCAGGAAGGAUCUUAUUAGCAGAAUUCAAUGAAUUUCACCCUGCUUGCGUCAUCUGAAAGAAAAGAAGGGGUAUGGGUCUUUGAGGCUGAGGGCUGUCCAAUUAUAGAGUUUACUCAUAUUGGAAUUAGAGAGUUUACUCAUAUUGGGAAGCUAGGAAUAUAGGAAUAAGAUAUAGUAAUAAGGGAAGCUAGGAAUAUAGGAAUAAGGGAAGCUAUGAAAGGCAACUACUAGACUCGCUAACCACUUCUAUUUCCUCUCCUGGUAGUACUGUUAGAGUUAGAGUUUCAGACCAGUUAGUAGAUACCUUAUUCUUAUUCUAGGUAUUGUUGACAGAGCAAGAGGUGAAGUAGUCGUCAGCAGCAAACGAUAAGGGAGUUGUUGCCGGGUAGCAAGUAUACGAGUAGUUGGCUCUUUGAACACAAGUCCUGAAUUCACCUAUAUUAGAGAUGAGUGAAACUAGUAUAUGUACCUUCUUUGGCGCAAGUAGUAGAGUAGUUGGCUCUUUCCAAUUAAUUGAACCCUGCUGGCUCUGCUGGGCGAGUGGAAUCUUUUAUCCUUUCUAAAGAUAGAAGAAAUAAAGAAAGAAAUCCAGUGGUCAUGUUUUUCACUGUGAAACCAACCCUGGAGUAGUUGCUAAUGACAAAUUCUCCGAAGUAACAAUAUUAGAAACCAUUGCUUGUCUCCGGGUCUAAAGUCUCAGUAACACCUGAUUUAGAGUAUUAGGCUUUCCCCCCUGAACCAUCUUUUGAGUCCUUUCCUGGAGACUUAACUGCUGAUUCAGAACAAACACCUUACUGACGCAACUAAGUACUAAACUUCUUGGCCCUAUCCACUUUCCGGAUCCCAGUAUCUGUCUGAUAUUGUCGCCCUUUCUUUUCCACUGUUGAUUCUCUCGGCACCAACACACGAACCCGGCUCCUGCUGCCCUGGCUUUCUUUCUCACUUUCCAGAUAGCUCACCCCUUAUUCAGUGCUUUAAGGCAACAAGCAACUACUCAUGUUGCGCGUUAGCGAGUUAAGGGCUCACUACUUGGAGUCUGAGUCUACCUGGUGUCAUUCUGGUUAGCAGUGAUGGAAUUCUUAAAGUAAGUAUCAGCUCCCCGCUGGCGACUUUCAUUCUUUCACUCCUUAGUUUGAUUCUGAUCUAUUCUGAUCUAGUACCCAAUAGCCAGGGAAUCAGUGGUAUAGUUAACAGACUUCAGGGAAUCAGUGGGAGUGAUUUCAGCCUGUGACUACUUAGUUUGAUCCGUUCACCUAUAUAAAGAGAAUAUAGAAUUUAGUAAGGGCCAAGGCCAAGGCCAAGCAACGGCGCGCCAAGACACUACUAACGUGUCGCGGCAGCGAGUUGAAAGCUGCGCGGCAGCAGCAGCAUAGAUAUGUUAUAACCAAUUAUGACCAAGUCAUGUGUUCGCGUUACGCGGCAGGCGUUCUCCCCACAAUUCUCUCUUUUCUUCUAUGCUUAACACAAGCACCUGAACCGACCUAUAAUAAGUGUUCACCCCGACCCGACCUAUCUUUCCAUUGGCACAACUAAUGCUAUCAGCCAAGUCGCGUAUACAAAUAGAGAGAGGAGCCUCAUCUACUUAUUGCUCCUAUCUUAUUACUUCUAUGCUAUCUCUUAUGAAACAGGACUAGACUACUACUCCACUGGCAAAACAGGACCCCUACGCAGCUAGGCACAAGUUGAUCUAAAGUAAACAAAUCAUUCAUCUACUUCUCCUCUGGCAACUGACACUCGGUCUUCAACUAGCACCGAACCUAUCUCUACCCUUAACAUUAUUGUUUCUAGUUCCAACCAAGGCUAUGGAGGUUUCAACUUCCACUCGGUAUUCCACACUUCGAUUUUCAGAACUGUCAACACCUUACUUUAGAACUGAGCUUGAUUGUUCCCCUGUUGUUACUGUUGCUGAUGGGGAUCUGUCUUCUGUAGUUUGAUUUGAUGGGAAAUCCUUCAUUGGAAACUCAGAAACUUGCCAACGAAGUCAUUUCUGCCUACCAUCUUUAUGGUUCCUUCCCUGAACUAAUUGAACUAGUUGACUUCCCACUACUCUGGUAUUGUAUAAGAAUAGUGGCCCAGCGACUACUAGAUGCGGCAGAUGGGUCAUAUAACUACUGAGUGCAAUUCACCAAGCAACUACAACAAGGCCCGAGCUACUGCUUUUCUUUCCAUGACUACUUAUACGGAUGCUUAGAUUUAGUCUCUCGCUCUUGUCUGUGAGUCUUCCUUGCCUUGCCUAGAUCCCAAGCUAACUCUUAUGGUCUUAUAGCUCUGCCGGGUAUCCUGACUUUAUUAUCUCAUUCCCUGCGGUGUUUCUCCAAUUCCCAUGCACGCUCUAGCUUAAGACCCGGCAGUGACCAUUCCUAUAGGAGUCAUUUCAUUCUUUUACUAAUGAGUCAACUUCUGCAUUCUCAGUGCAAUUCCUUAUUCUUAGUUAUUCCUCUGAUAAGUAAUAGUUGUUUUGUCUUGCUAGGUGCCUAGCCUAGGGUAUAUGAGUGAGUAGAACAGAAUCAGUAUUAGUCCUUAGUUCAAUUCGUAUAAGUAGUAAGUGGGAUUCUUUAACAAACAAGUAAGGAUCAAAGAUGGGAAUAGCAGACCCAAACCUAACUCUCUAAAGGCGGAUUGGGAGUCGAACUACAAAGUUCUUUUUAUCGGACUCAACUCACACUCAAGGCAAUAAGGUUUUAGGCUGCUUAGUUCAUUUAUUCAAUGAAUGUCCUUUAUUCGUACUAUACUAUUUGUCUUAGAGCUUGUAUCCAAGGACAGGGAUCCUUACUUAACUAGAGACUAAUGGCCCAAUGAGAGCCCAGGUCACAGAAUUUCGUUUCUGAACAGAGGAACCUAGUGUUCGAUCGGUUACUACUCUACUACUACUCUCUUCGGGCUUACUACUCAAUAGUUGUAGGCUUACUUCUAACAUGGACUAAUAACUUAUAACUCAUAACUAGUAACAGACUGAAACAACUAUACCCUAGCCUCGCCUAACAAGUAAGUAAGUCAACCUGCCUAGUACAAGUAAGUAAACAAAGAACUUACUAUAAGGGCCUCUCAACUGGACCACUACUUGUCAACUUCAGACUCCCUCGGGAGCUCAACUAAGUAAGUAUAUAGUAGAAAAGGCGCACACAGGACAGAUAUAGUAGUUCCGCUAUUGCUCUUGAAACUAAAGUACUGCUUCCAAACCUGCUCUUCAAACAACUUCUUUAGCGGCAGUCCGGGUUGGGAGUAGCAACACCUACUUCUAUUGAACUAAAUGAAACAAGUGAGUUACAGCCUGUGUUGUGUUCGUAUGCCUCUGCCUCUGCUGCCUAUGCCUUUAGUUAGUAAUUUGUAUGGGGUUCGUCUGCCUCGCCUCUCAAUCUUAUCUAUCUUAUCUUGUUAAAACAAGGGAAAGGGUAAACGAGGUCAUUCAUAUGAGUCCCCUUCAGUUCGAGGUCUGUUAUGAAAGUCUAGUUAUUGCCCCUUUAAGUAGUGCUUCUUCACAAACUACCCGAGCCGCCAAGACACGGAUAGACAAGUUACUACUCAUAGCUUCCCUUUCAGACUACACUAGGGAUAGGGAAGAAACAGAAUCAGGCCAGGGCAGCUAGGGCCAAGUCACUCAGAUAUUAAUUCUCCGAUGUCAACAAAUACUUCCUCUCCUCAGCUACAAGGCCUUAGCAACCUAUCACUUAUUACAAAUAUUCUGCAUUACAAGUUAUUGGAAGGUUAUGACCAAUCCUAGGAAAGAAAUAAGUCACAAUUAUUCAAAAUAAGGGAGCUGACUGAUGGAGAGUCAAAUUGAUAUGAAUGAGUUGCUUUGAUGUUGACUACCAGAAAUUAGUAAAAUAGUUGCCCGAGGUAUUAUAGAAGAUAGUAGCCAAGAUAGUUGCCAGAGGUAGAGGUGUUGCGGGAAGGGGAGGCGUGUAAUAGAAAAAGUCACUAACCCCACAACCCAGUAGGGCUCUUUCUCGAUAGUAGGAAAACCCCGUAGGGCUCUUUCUCGAUAGUAGGAAUUUGCCUCUACAGUAGGAAAGUAACUUCACAGUGUGUUUAAAGCAAUAAAGUUCUAAUUUCACUUUCCGGUAAGAAACAUAAGAUUUAGCUAGGUCUGAUAGCUCAGCAGAUAUAUAACUGAUAGCUCAGCAGAUAUAUAAGUAUUCCGUCGACUAUUAGACUCUAUUCUAGUUCUCUCUCUCGCAUUACUUGAAACAAAGAAUUCCACUCCAAGGGAGGAAACGGAGCCAAGCUACUCAGAGACAAGACUCGGCAAUAAAUGUAUUAUUAAUGAAGUUAUGAGCAAGUCCUUUAUUCUAUUCUGGGCGGUAGGAGCCGAGUUCUGGCGGUAGUGAGUUCCAAGCGUCAGCUACGAAAUAACUUGUUUCAUCCGGUAUUAUCCUUAAGAAAGUUCUAUUGAUUUUCUUAUACAGGGUGUGUACAGUGUCAGUAUAGGAUCAAUUCCAGUCGUUUUUCUUUUGACUAUGGUGAUUCCAACAGUUUUAAGCCCACUCUACAACUCUCUUCUUUUCUUUAGUUCACUACCGGUCAACUCUCUUCUUUCUUAAAGGAAGGAAUGCUAGGUGGUUCGGCAAGAAAAAGCCCAGUGUUAUCUAGCUCUAUCAUACAAUACAUCGCUCUUUACCGCUCGAACAAGAACAGGGCAUUCUCAUUCUUCAGCUCGAACUAUACUAGCAAAACCGGGAAUCAUACUAACUAAUAUCAGAAUAAACCCACAGCCAAUAAGAGGAACGCGGCCUUUGAAUCACUGAUCGCCGGGGUUGCAACAAGCAAAUAGUACCUCCCUAAUAAGAAGGAUCCUGCUCUACUGCCUAACAGCCUUACUAUCUUCACUUUUCGCCUUACUUGAAAGCCUCUGAGCUUCUAUGCCUCUACUCCUUUCCUUAGUUGCAUCCUAUCUAUCCUAUCUAUCAGUCCGCCCCUUGACUCUUUAACCACUGAUUCGGAUCUUUAUUUGAGUGUUUCGAACCACAACAUCCCGGUUUGUUAGCCUGCAACUCAGCUCUCCUAUUCUUAUACCUUGGAGUUAGCUACUGAUCUAAGUCUCGCUUUUGCUAGUUUGUUUGUUAAUCUGCUUGUCGAGUUUCAUUCCUACUAAACAGCCAUAGUACAAGUCAUUCUCCACAGACCCAUAUGAUAGACAAAGACAUCCUCCGUAUCACCGACCCUACAAUGGAAAAACCCUUAUCUCGGUUACCCAAUUGCAUCCGUUAUUGCAGGAUGGAUUCUUUCAUUCCUUAUUCCGUUUCAGUGUCUCUAGUAUGAGAGUAUGGGGCGCACCUACUCGUUCUUGGGCUGCGGAGCUCGAUUCCUACUUCUUAAAACUCAUUCUUUAACAGCAGAGCUUAACUCUUACUUUGCAUCUCUUAAAACGGAAGCUGCUCUCUGCCAUUCUUACUUGCUAGUUUGUGAUUCCCUUGUGUACAUGCCGCUGUUCCUCAUACACCUAUAGCACAUGCGCUACUGCAUUUAAGGUAAGUAGCCUUAUGAUUCUUUAUCGAAAGGGAGAGGCAUAUCAGGACCUUAGUUCACCAAUAAUAAGAGGAAUUAUGUUAACUUCUAAUAAUGAUGUUUACUUGACACCGGCACUAACAAUGAGGAAUGCGCUACUACCCUAUUAGAUCGAGAAACACUACUGGAAGGGAUCUAUUGACAAACAGACUCGAACUACCGCUUUUAAGGCAGCCCUUCCCCCUAUUAGUCUGUAGAGCUCCUGCCCUUGAUUGUUUCCCUCUGGACACUGAUCCUUGAACUAAACCAGUGCUAACAGGGUUCUCACUGCUGUCUCUUAGCCUUGUUUUGAAACUAACUUCCCCCACGCACUCUGACUCUUUGCUUUGAUUCCAAUGCUCUUUGCUUUAAUGCUCGAACUACGGACCCGUAUUCCCUAUCUAAUGAUCCAGAUCUUUUAUCUUAUUAAUAAGUAAUUGGACUAAUAGUAGCAAGACGAUAACUCAAAACUAUGGCAGUGACUGCAGCUUAUAGGGCUGUUACUGCAUGGAAGUUGGUGGUCGUUAGUGAGCGGUAGCUCUAUUCUAGGGGAGUAGUUAAGUGAAGCCUGUUUGCCAUUACAUUAGUUCCAUCCUAAUAGUUAGUAACUCGAUUCUUGUUAUCGAAGAAAGCGGAAUGAAAAUAAGUGUAUUGAGAGUCAAAGAUGGGAAGAGCGGGCUAGUAGGAGGUAGUCACUACGGAAUGAAGUGCAAGAGGUUAGCGAUCAAUCUAGUAGUUAUUAGUUCCGUUCGGUAGCUCGUAGUUUAGUCGAUAGCUCGUAAUUGAGUUCUCAUAUUAUUAGUUAGUUAGGGCCUUGUUAUAUGCAAGUGAAGCCUGUAUUCAUUGUGGAAGAGCUUAGUUUCCCCGGUACCCCGACUGGGAAUGGGAAGCUUUUGAUUCUCACUUUGGAGUCGAAGUCCUAUCAGUGCAAUAUCUGUUCCCUUCUUAGAUACCUAUAAAUACGACAUUCUCCCAUUACUGGCACAGUUUCUUACUUGGUGGUUGACACCUUAACAAAACUAGUGCUCCCGAGACUUAACCUAUUGGCGAACAAUGGUUCCUUUCCUGCCUCCCGAGCCUGUCUUCUAUUCUUUACACGCUAGGUAUCAAACGGACAUUGUGCCCAAGGGCUUUAGGAUCCUCUGCCACAUGUAUCAGCCUACCGUUAUUAACUAGCAAACUUAUAUUACUGCCUUAGAGUCUUAUUACUCGCAACACAGGCUUAGGCGAGUGAGGCAAUCCAUAUUCUUGUAUUAGCUCUUAGGUGACUGUAGGACAUUCCGACUUCUUAGCCCAAUUCUCAGAAAUGAGUUUAUUUACUCAGGGGGCAUUAUUGGAAUCUGAUUUCUAUUACUUUUACUCUGAUUAGCAGUGGUGAAAUCCUUAUAUGAGUAAGUUCAAUCUAUGUGGGCAGUUACUGAUUCUUUCUAUUGGUCUUAUCGCUCUUGUAGCAGAGACCAGCAUCUUGUAGCGUAUGGUAUCUUGUAUUAUUGACUUGUAGUAUUAUUCUCGUUAGUUGAUUUCCUAGCUAUGAGGAACAGUAUUAGAGGUUGUAUUAUUUGUAGAAUGAGAUAGAGCAAAGUAAGAUCUAGGUUCAGUAAAGUGAGACUAACGGCCUAGGUAUAGAUAGUCGGGAAAGGCGGGACGGGGCUAGCUAGCUAACUAGUGGAAUGAAGAAUCAAAGGCAGUAGAUCCAGUUUUCAAGCAAGCAAACCCAAGGUCACAUACCUGUCGAAUCAAACUCAAAUGCAUAAUAAGUGGAAUAGUUUUCAUCUCCAAUAGGGGGGCAGGCAUUAAUAUUCAAAACUCUACAGCUGGGACAUCAUACACAGCUAGAUCCUAUUUGAGUUUAGGAGAUCGAAAGGGCAAAGAGAGCCAACCGGUCAUGGUCAUCAUGGAGAAAAAACCACUACUUUUUCGUUCAAUUGGCCUAUAACAAUCUUCUUAUCACUAAGGGCUCGAACCAUAAGAGACCACUCUGGGUUCAGUUAAAGUCUCUCUUUGGUCACAGCCUACUCGUUUUCGCAAGAUCCACAGGAGAAAGGGGGGUUUAGUUGAUUGGAUCUCGAUGACCUCUCCGAAAAAGGGCAGCUUAAGGAAGAGGCAAAAAGGAGGGCUUCUUCACAAGGCACCGGGACCUAAACUUUUCAAUUGAUGUGGCUGAGAUUAGCCUGAAACAACCUCCAGGUCCGCAAUCCUUUUUAUCUUAGGUUAGACUAAGGGAUGCUGAGGCUCAGGUAUCACAGGCCGUCAUCCAGAAAGUCAUUACUACCCUAAACCCCUUUUACCGUUCAAAAGAAACAGAGUGAGCAGAGAAGUGAUUGCUAAUCCACACAGAAAGGCUUGUUAUUACGAAUCAUGUGCCAAAUGCAAUCAGGCAUUCCAUGAGAAAGAACCAAUUCUCUGAGAAAAAGAACCUUGCUUGCCUUACUAGCUCUCUUGUUAUGAGCAUGUACCACAGGUGGAUUCAGUCCCUUCCUUAUAGCCUUGCAGUCCAAUCUUAUCUACAAUCCUUUUUCUUUAUUCUGGGCAUCAAUCCCAUGUGAGCAAAAAGGGCCAAGUCAUCACCAAAAAGGUAACGGAAACCCGACAAAUGAUAGUCAUGAGGGCCAAGCAACGGGCCAAGCUACUCAUACCGACAAGACUGACCCCGCUAAGUAGGAGUACAACUGCGACUUAUAGUACUGUUGCUACUGAUCCAGAUCCUUUACAAGUUUGGGCACUUUACCUAGUCAUACUUCUUUGGGCACUUUACCUAGUCAUACUUCUUUCUUUGGGCACCUUACCUAGUCAUAUUGGAAUUAAUGUUCUUAUUAUAUGUGAACAGAAUAAGGAAUUGAAGAGACAAGCUACGUAUAGACUCAAAACUCCGUAAUAGAAUCAUGGAUUCCACAAAAGGAAUAGAAGAAUUGGGGAAAAAGCGAACUAAGUAAGAUAAUAUGGGUUCAACCAAAGUAUGUUUCGGGGAACCUCGCAUCAAAGAAAGAAUGGAAUUGACAUGGAAUAAACUAUCUUAUAAGAGAAUAGAAUCGAAUUGGCACUGAGAAAACUAGCUUCUGUUCUUUUAAUGUAUUGAGACUAUCCAUGUUAUAUUGAUACAAGCGAGACCUAUGCUAUUUAGACUAAUAGUACUAGAAACAUAUACUACCAACCGACUCUAUCGGAAUCAAACUCAGAAGUAGGGAUCCUCUUACGCACCUUGUACUUGCCCCUUAUAUGAGAAAACGGAGACCCGCGCUACCUCACCCAUGUGCCUGCGCUACUUACACCUACUAAGCAAGGUACUCAUUCUUCAAGUAACAUCAUAUAUUCUGUGAGCGAUCAUUCAACCACUCAUUCUUCGGUCGACACAACGUUCAUUGGGACAGACAACGUUUAUGUGGUCCAUCACCCAUUAAUAGAGGUUACCUAGGUAAUGAAUUGGUCGGUUGAACCACCUUAGUCGACACCACAUUGAUUCUUCGGUCGACACAACGUUCAUUGGUCGGACUCCCCGGUCAAAUCACUCAGCCUUGUCGUAGCACCAUGAAUUCAGUGAGCUACCUUGCACCCACUCGUUCAGUAAGCGACCAGCAACUCCGUCAACGUGGGUCAUCGCGCCUAAGUCGACAUAACCAACGUGCAUUGGGACAGCGCAUUGGGACAACAUUCAUUGGUUGGUAAACUGAACCACACCGACAUAGAGAACGACAUAGAUAAUUAUAAGCUCUAUUAGGUUUAUUCAAGCUAUAAUAUAGAGAGAACCAUGACUCACUGUCAAUUAGCAUAUAAUAUAGAGAGAACCAUGACUCACUGUCAAUUAGUAGACCAAUCGUGAAAGAAUUGAAUAGCAUUGAGCGUGACACCUAAUAUAGACAGACGUUGCUUGUUCAAUAGUAAUAAAGACGUUUUUCAAUAGCAUUGAGCGUGACACCUAAUAUAUAACUAAGUCAGAAAUCCAACUCUAUUACUGGAAGAUACUCUGAAUAAUAACUUGCGGAUAAUGUGACUUUAAGAUACUCUACUCUGAAUAAUAACUUGCACAUAUAAUGACUGCUUGAGUAGAUGCUAUAUAGAACCAAGGCAAGGCCGGAGGGUGUAUUGAAUCAAAUCUGUUUCGUUGCUUGGUGGACUUGGGACAUAAGAAAGGUGAACUCUGGAACGGAUUCAAUGAAACUAACUCAUAACUCCUAACUCAGGUGCCGGUAUUGGUAUUUCACUCCUAACUAGUCAUUUAUGAUUCUCUCUCUUUCGUUGGUAACACUUCUGAUCCUGCUUAUUGAAUUGAAACACCUGUACUUGUGACUUUCGUAUGCGAGGUGGAUUCUUUGAUUUCGCUGUUGGUUGCCCGUUAGCUUAUUGUUGUGUUCGGGGCUUCUUGAAAAGAUUGUUGCCAUCUAUCAUAAAAGAAAGUAAACUAACUGCAAUUCUUCAGAAGCAGACUAAGGCACAUGAGAGAAUUAAGUGCAAACGAUGAAGAACUAACUUACAGAGCGAAAUCCUCUUAUUCUAUUACUAAGAACCUUGAAACUGCUGGUGCUACUGCUUAUGCUGACUGGCUCGAUACAGCUGCUUCGGAUCUUUAAAUGGCUUCUUCUAUUAGGCCUAAACCUGGCAAUACUUAACGCUUCAGUCAACAACUAAUUCAUUUCACAUUUCACUUCACUGAGGUUCUAUCUAUAUGAGAUUCUAUAUGAUGAUGAAGCCCCUGAACUUGACUUUCCAGAGAUUAGAGAUUGGCUUGUUGGGUAUGAAAGGGGAGCCUAUUGUAACUCCGAACCUAUCCUCUAUCCUUGGUUACUUCUUUCUAUCAUAUAGAGCGAAUUAUACUGCCUAUACUAAUAAGGAUCUUUCCACUCCAGAACUACUUGCUGCUGAAGCUAUUUCUUCUGCUUCAUCUGUUGCUCGUUAGCGCUAAAGAAGGACAUAAUUCAGGUUCCGGGCAAGGGCAAUCAGGCGUAUUUCCAAGUCAAGGCAAGAGGGCAGGGCGGAUUUAGCAUCGUGUUUCACCCACCAAGCCACUACAAAGUCUCCUGUGUUCGUCAACUUGAAGUCAAACAUUGUCAAUCAGCAGGAAAAGAUGUCCUGUUUUCGGGAGCCGAGUUCUAGCGGUAGCAGCGGAAUAACGGGCUUUGAAGCAAAUGAGGUCAAGAGUACCAGAAGCCGAAUGUUAAUCUCUACCUACUGCUGAAGCUAAUGGUGGUUCUAGUUUCAUCAUAUAUAGAAGCCGAAUGCUAAUCUCAUGCUGAGGUAAAGUAUCAAGUCAAGGGGUAGGGCGGACUCUCUAUAUUACAGUUUAAGCGCGUCGUCAAUAAGUUUCGACUUUCUCUUUUUCGUAUUAAUAAGUAGUUACGAUAAAAAGAAGCUAUCAGGAUCAUUAGCCAUAGAGGAAAGAGUUUUCAGAGCAGGUCAAGAAAAAGGCUAAGAAGCGAGAUCUUGCAGCCGGGAAAGUGUUUUCAACAAGAUCUGAAGCUUUAGUAUAGUUGCCUGCGUACUAAGCAAUGCUAGUUUAGAAAGCCUGAGUUCUUAACGGGUAGAUCGAAAGCCUUAGUUCUGAAUAGCAGCUGGGCGCCAGAGAGAAUAAAUGAUGGAGUCUGAUCUUAAGUCUUUUGACUUACUUCCUGCUACACCAUAAUAGCUAAAUGAUUAAAGCAACAGCGAAAGCUGCAAGGCAAGAAAGAGGGGUAUAAAGCAAGUAAGGUAAGAGCAGAGGUCAGCUGUCAAUUCCGUUUAGUUAGCCGUUAAGCUCGUUGUUGUCAAUGUUGCAGUGCUCUGAAAUUCGAUUCUCAAGGUUCACUCUACUUUCAAUUGAAGACCCAUGAGAAAUAGAUGCAAAGCUGUAUCUUUACUGGGAUCCAUACCAUGUGCUGUAAAGUCAUAAUGGAAUUGAACUGACAAAGAAACGAAAACAUACCUGACUGACGACGAUACUGCUUGAGCAUCAACCAAAAGGCUUGGGGCAGUGAGACUUACAAUACAUACAGCACUAGCCCCCGAUACUCACUUAAUGAAAUGGAAAAUCAUCUAACAAUCGGGAGCGGUAAAGUAUCAGUGUAAGCAGCAAGUGUGGGUGUUGAACAAAACAAGUAAGCUAAGGCGAGACAUAAAUCUGGGUUGAUAUCUUUAACUGACAAGUACUUGAAAGAUGGGUUUAUAGCCUACUAUCUUUAUCUUAAUGACUUUGAAGCAAGGUUAAGUAGAGAGAGAGUCGCUUCUUGCCCUUAAACGAACUACUCUUAUUACCUUGAUUCCCUUUCACCUGGUGUGAAAGCGCUCGAAAGAUGAAGUUUCAAGUUAGCGGGAAAGAAAUCAGUAUUAAGAAAACUCUUUAUAAGCGGGAAACACAAGCUUACGCACGCACCCCGUUUCCGUUACUUGGUCUUGCUUAGUGAGUGGUGCAUUAGCUAAUUCCAGAAGAGAAGUAAACAAAGUGAGCCGGGCAAGUCAAAUAAGUUGAGUAGCCAGUUGCUCCAGAAAAGAAGUAGAAAGUCCUGUUGAAGGUUAUAGGACAAUAGAAGUAGGCCUGUAUCUCGUCAUCAAGUUUCAAGUAAAGUAUCUGAAGUUUCAAGUAAAGUAUCUGGGCUGGUUUUUUCACCCUUAUUGUUAGUUGUAUUGUAGACCGCCUCUUCUACAAGUCCUUGAAGCACUAACACCAAUAACACAAUUCUACUUUCCGCAGGCAGCAGGAGAUAAUGCAGAAACUUGAGUUGGCGCGGGAUCAGAUGCUCUUACAGCCUUUGAAGCAGAAGCCAGAUCUGUUCAAGUUUCAUCGUUUUCAGAAGAAGAGGUUUGGUUAAGCCGUGAAAUGAUUCAAUUCAGGGAAGCAGUGUUUGUAUUUACUCGGUUCUAGACCAGAUGUUCGAGAGUCAAAUGAAAAUGAAUGAGUUGCACUCAGUCGUUAGCGCAACUGAACAAGUAGACAACACUAACACUUUCAAUCAUAUUCCGGAGGUACCAGCGAGCUACUGCGGGACGGCAAACUCACUAUCCUAGCGUAGUAGGGCAUUUCAAAAGAGAAUCAUCUUAUAUAGUCGACUUAACUCGAACGGAAUCUGCUCUCAUAGACCACUUUCCGCACCCGAGCAAAAGACUUGAGGAACCGCCCAGGCUCACCCCUCUCCUGUGACAAAGUUCUAUACAAUGCCAGUGAACGCUAGAUUAGAUUCCAUUCAGUUUGUUCAGUUAAAUGAGUAAGAACUAGCAAGGGAACUAGCACCCUCACUUCACUUUUGAAUAGAAACAUCAUUACAUCGCACAGCUGCAGAUCCAACUUAUUAUCUUGAAACUCAUCUGAAAACGAAAACUACAUUUGCUUUUCCAACAAGUGAAGAAGCAUAAGAUCCUUCGCCAGCGGAUUAUGAUUCUCCAGUUGAUGCUUUUGCCUCUUCUUCUAUUGUAGAUGACACUCGAACAGAAUAGAAUUGACGGGCCUUCUCAAGCAUACAAAGAGAUUCUUGGAGACAACACUCACACUCAACUCUACUUCAAUACAAGCACCAAAAGAGUAUACUCAGAUUCCUUACUUAUAGGCGCGGAAGAAGAAUUCUAGAAGCCACCAAGUCUAAGUGCAUUAGCCAGCGGGGGUGCUAAAGGAGUUUACAAAGGUUCGGAAAGCAAAAGGCAAUAAUGAAGUACUUGGCACCUUAGUGGAAGAGUUCGAUUACGAAAUUCUCAUAUAUGCGGCACUCCUCAUUCAAUAAUAAACGAGCAAGGGUGCAACUCCUCAUUCAAUAAUAAACGAGCAAGGGUGCAACUCCUCAUUCAAUAAUAAACGAGCAAGGGUGCAACUCCUCAUUCAAUAAUAAACGAGCAAGGGUGCAAAGGGAAAGCCAGGGUAAACUUCCAUUGUUGGAAGAAAUUCCCAAUCUUGCCUACCGACAAUGCUCUGAGAAUACUUGUAGGGGAAAGCCCAUCAUACAUCUAUACUGAAGUAGACCAAGUAAAGUCAACCCAGAUUUAGAGUCGUAUAAUCCAUCCUAUUCGUUGCGAGUAAACGUUAUCCCACAUUCCCAUAGAAAUGAAUUCUUCUCUUUCUUCCCCGAAACCUUGAACCUCAUCUCCCUCUUGACCAUGAGUUCUUCAUAUUGAAGUUCCGUUGGUUCCUUAGCUUGCUCGUAUUUAGAGUCAAUUAGUUUGUUUUGCGAAAUGUUACUUUGAGGCAUAGUGUACCUUUGAGGAUCGAGUGCCUUUUCUGGUUGCUCCGAGUUCGAUUCGAAAGUCAACUGCAAGCGGGAAGGAGACUAAUAUGAUGCUGCUGACCUGACAAGCGCCUUAACGGCAACAAACACCCCUGAUGAAAUAAUAACCCGCUUAUACUCUAUACUAAACUCUAUCUGCGCCCUUGCCCAAUACUGAAUAUCAAAGUAAGCAAUAACUUAAUCUCCAAGUAAGCAAUAAAAUAAUAAGUAGAAGCUCUGUGGCCUUGGAUGCGGUGCCUCAAUUCCCAUCUUUAUGCUGUACUGCAGAACGUAUCAACAAUCGAACAAGAAAGAAAGGCAAGCAAGGGCGGGGCAAGUAAGGCAAAGAACUAGCUUUCGCGCACCUGUACUGGAUUCUGCCCCAUGAACUAACUUUAAGUCAGAACCGAACCGCUUAACCGCUUUUCUCUGAUUACCAAGAUAAGAUCUAUACUAAACUAUCUUAUCUAAUUAUUAUUCUUAUCCGGAUUAUGAAAAUUGAUGCUUUCGUCGAGCGUAGGAGUUAAUGGUUGAAAGUCAGACAAGUAACUGCUUAGCAACUCGAUUUUCGGAUACCGGCUUGUUGGUGAUAUCGGCUUGGCUUCCCCUUUCUUUUGCUUAAAAACGAAAUACUUCCCUUUGGCCUAUCUAAGACAAACCCUCUGGAGCUUCUUCUCGGAUUGUUAACCCGAUUGAUAGAUCUAGAAUUACUAUUUCUAUAUGAGACCACUAUCACCCCUAUCUUUCUUUCGACUCUUCAAAAGUGAGAGUUGCCGGCAAGAGGCAAAAGAUAUUAGACAUCAAAUGCAUUUUCACUGCGGGUAUGGUCUAAAUAGGGAAUUCCACUAAAUAUGAGUUUCCCAUGGCUUAAACGGCGAAAAGAGGCCUUACUCGGCACAGUCUACUCGGCUUUGUAAGCUUCUUCUCCUUGUAAUUGAUUUCUGCCUUUCAUUAGAAGCUAGAAGACUCUGAGUUUCGGGUAUAUUAGGCAAGAUAUAGUUCUCGGCAGCAGCACGCACUUAUGGAAAUGCAGCUCUAACCUACUGGACUUUCUUUCGCAGGUCUUCCUUCUUAACAGGUUGGCUAACUUCCAUCUCAUCUUUUUAUGGAUACCAUUGCUCACGAUCUUUCCAAUUCUUUCUAUUCUAUUAGGUGGAAGCCAGUCAUAGCGAGACUCAUCUGGCACUGCGAUUGAGAACUUCUGCUCGUGACAUCUAAGUUAACCACUGAUUUGAUCUUUCGACAUCUAAGUUAACCACUGAUUUGAUCUUUCGACAUCUAAGUUAACCACUGAUUUGAUCUUUCCGGGAUAAUAAAGUAAGGACUUGAAGAGGAAGACAAAGGCUAGACCUGGAAAUAAGGAUUCCUUUUAGAAAGGGGACUACUUUUCACUGGGGAAUCCUUCUCUAUAUCAUACUGAACCUAUACUUCACUUUUGGGCGUCAGGAGCUUACACUAGAAUUGCCCCCAUCCAACCCAUCAUCUAAUCUCUAAGAAAGCAUCGUUUCCAUUCGAAUCCAGACCCCCUUCCUCCAAGUGAGUUCGACAGGCAAUAAGCGUUAAGGCGCACCUCUUCUAUCGCAUACUUGUUAUCUUGCCCCAAUCCCUUUAGCCAUCAAGUAAGCCACAAACCCUUUCUUUCCUCUUUAACUACAUAACUCUUGAACUCCUCUCUUACCGCACGCAUAUAGUAAACGAACAAGUAAGAAAGUCAGAAGUAAGCCCAAAACUCAGAAUUAUACAAGAAAGUUGGCAAGUAGGAAAGUGAGAAUUCCACUGCUAAGUAAGCAAAAGGGAAGCCCUAAGUGAGAAGUAAGCCCAAAACGAAAAACCUCAUGGAAAGGAUAAGGGAGCAACUGGUGCGUUGGGAACAGUUCCAUACCUUGGAGAAGCAGUAGAGACCAUUUACUCUAGGGGUGCAACAGCAGAAAGACUGUGAGAACACCCCAUCAAUGGGAACAUAUAGGAAAGGAUACAGCAGUAAAACAUAUAGGAAAGGAUACAGCAGUAAAUCAUAUGAAAAGGCUGCUGGACGAAGAGGUAACAUAUGAUGCCGCCUCGCCCCUUAAAGCUUCUAUUAGUAGCUUCAGGGUGGCUAACAGUAUAAGUCUAUCAUAUACGAAGGAGGGUGGGAGAUUGCAGCCCGCGGAUUGGCUAACCAAACCCGUAAGCGUGGAUUCCUCUGAGGUAGCAGCUACAAAAGUCAGUGAAGAUGUUAUCUUUAAGAGAAAUUGAGGCACUGUGAGCUCCAUGGUGCUUUACUUCUCUGGGAGUGAAAAGUGUAUACGUACCGAGGAAGUUUGGGCCAACGAGGAGCCCUAACAGUAUUAGUUGGAAGAGCCAGAGUGGAAUUAAGAUCUAGUUGCCAGCUGCUUGGCUGUUGUCAGUGGCCAUAGUUAUAGUAGCCUGAGUUAGAUGAGAUGGAAAGGUAGAACACUGGUUAGGAGUUUCAUUCAAUGGUCAGAAUAAGGGAGCUGUCACUAAUACUCAGACAACGAAUAAUAAUAACUAAUACUAAGCAUUGGUCUAAUACUAAUACUAAUAAGAAAAAACGAAUACUAAGCAAAGGUCUAUUGCUGCGUCAUAUGAUCUGGUUGACUUUCCUUGCACAAACAAGGACAUAUCCUUCUGAGGUGAAAGGCUAUUGAUUGGGAUUAGGAAAGCCUUGUUCAAAAGUCUGAGGAAAGAAAGUCCCACUGCAUCCGGUACAAAUAGGUUGCUAUUUAGCCAAACACGAAAUUAGGAUCAUAAAUCAUCAUAUAUCUAAUAAGGACACCCGCAAUCCAUUAAACAUUGAUGUUUCUGCCCCCCAUUGAUUUCUCAAUUAGCAUUGAUAAGGGCCCCGUAAUUGAUUUCUCUUUGAUAAGGGUUUUUCGAUUUCACAAGUGAGAAGGAGUUUUCGAUUUCAAGUAUAGUUCAGUGUCCUUGUGUCUUUGGGUUAAGGGGUAGCCUUGCCUCGCCUGCAAAGGGUCGAGCCUUCACUGCUUGUAUUCUAUUCUUUUCCUCCCAGUGCUAUUACAUACGGAAUAAGAUGUGGGUCGGAAGCUUGAUUCGAGCUCUUCCCCAUUCCUUUCCCCCAAAAAGAGUUAACCAUGGCUCGGUGGUAAAGCAGAAGAAAUCGAUGGGUUGAUUGGUUGGAUGCAUUCUGCCUUUCUCGGUCACACCCAUGCAUAGAACUUCAAGCCUUAGCAGUUCCGGCGGAUCAUCAUUGUUCGCACUCCAGGGAUCCCUAUGAUAUUUAGACAUUAUUCUAUUCCAUAUGAAGAUUUCUCUAUUACCUAUUAUAUAUGUAGACAUUAUUCUAUAUUCUAUAUUUAGACAUUGUAGACAUUAUUCUAUAUUCUAUAUUUAGACAUUAUUCCAUUUAUACAGAAUCCCCAUACGAGCGUGGAAUCCCCAUACGAGCGUGGAACCGGAACUUCCCCAUCUCAUCUGCUGGCAUGAAAUAGAAAUCCGUGGCAAAGCCCGUAAAUCACAAGGAAAUCAAUCUUAGACGCUUGACGUCGGUAGAGAGAGAUGAUUGGCUUCUUACUUGUUUGACCUCUCUUGGGAAAUCAAUCUUCUUACUUGUUUGACCUCUCUUGCUUGGCUUCUGGUUGUUUGUCUCCGGGUCUGAACCCUUACCUUGUCUUGCCCACUCGCCCCCUUCCUUCCCGGCACCAAGCAUUCCUAGAUAUUGCUCCAGUGGUUGACUACUCGCAUUGGUGGUUUACUAUCCUGCUCGCCUAACGAAAUCAAAUCAUCAAUACUAGCUUGGCCCCAACUAUUUCCGUUUAUCCUACAGCAGCUGGCGAGCCACUCUUGAGACGGAGCUUACUCGGCUAGCAACGGGCACUGGCGACGGAGAACAUAACUUCUGACUUUGGUUGUGGACCGGAACGAAUUACUUGCUCUUUCUGCUUUCCUCACCGUUGAGAACCGCAUAACUCAUUCUCAGUCACAACUUCGAAUCCACUUCAAUCAACCCAUUUGAAUAAGAGCGGAUCAAACUAUGCACACCAAAUCCAAUCAAGGAGGGGCAGUGGGUGAUUCUUCCUACCAAGGUCAACCAACACUCAAUCUCAACUCGUAGACUAGUAAACGAAAGCGAAGGGUACGCAAGGCAUUCGAUCUUCAAGCGAAAGGGAAGGGAGGUUCCAUUUGAUUCCGUUGGUAAAGGGACAGGUCAACAAAGUCCGCAGCUCUCGAAGUGAGAAUACACCUCCGCCAUAGGAUGACCCGAAAACGGGACCAAAUAGCUAUAGUAUCGCUACGUGGGGGAUCAGUGCUUUUUUACACCAGCAGUGACUCUAUAUCCAAAAUCAAUCGAUUACCAUGCAUUGCAUUCUUUUUUACACCAGCAGUAACUCUAUAUCCAAAAUCAAUCGAUUAAUUCAUUCCUUCCCGGUCCCCGGUUGUUUUCUCUUUUGUUUCUAUGCAUAGGGGGUCUCCAGUCUAGGAAUCCGGUUUGUUGCAGUUGAGUGACUCGGGUGUUGAUCAGAAGAGUUGCUCAGAGAGGAUCAACGUAGUUAAGAUUGAUGAAUUCGUUUUGACCCGACCGACGAGGUUAACCGUGGGAUCCUUUGCUUUCUGCUGUUUCGUUUGGAACAUUGUGGAUUUGACCUGACCCCUUGAGUACUUUGUAUCAAGAUUCGCAGCUCUUGCUUUUCUCUCUAGUUCAACGUUCACUCCUCCAUGGAAACUUCGAUCUCGGUGGUUCAAUUGAGUUUCAAUCCAUUCGGUGAGUUAUACCCUGUAGUAGCUCCUUCGCCUCUAUCGAAGGUACCUGUAUUCAUAGUAGCAACAGUAGGAGUGAGUUCAAAAAGAGACUAUACUUGCCUAGUAACAGACUUAGGGGGCCAAGCAACAGUGCGUACUAGAGCAAGAAAUAGGGUAUUAGUUUUUUGACUUCCCUUGCCCGAUCAAAGUAAUGACCUGAAUGGACUGAUGGUUAUUGUCCCGCUAUAGCUGGUGGAGUAAGGUAUAUCGGACUACUCCUGAGUUUAUGGUGUAGCCAGUAAGAGAAGAAGCAUACGUUGUGUUGCACUUUCUGAAUCUUAAUAAGAUGCCCGGAGCAGGUAAAGAAGCAGUUUUCAGAGCAGGAUAAGGGGAGAGAGCAGGAUCAAGUUCAGGAUCAGACUCCGGGGAGUAAUAGCCGGUUUAGGAUCAUAAGCUAUAAGAUAUGGUUACGUGGGCUAUCCGAACUCUCUUAACAGAGACCUGAGCCCUGAUUGAUAGUACUUAUUGGUGAAGCCGUGAACCUAGAUUUAGAGUCAAACUACCCAUGUUCUUAGACUCUUACGGCAUUUAUGACAUUUAGGUACCAACUCGAGCUCCCGAAAACUGUCAUUUCACUUGCGUAGAGGUGGGAAUUGGUUCUUCUUAUCCUGUUUAUUAUCUAUAUUCUAUAUUAAGCUUCCUCUCCAGCUGCUGCUUUAACCUCUUCUUCUUUAAUUCGAAGUUUCUAUACUAAAUCAACGAGUCAACCAGGAAUCCUUCUUUAUUGCUCACUUGAAAGAUACUUUACAGCUAUGUGGGCAUGAGAUUAGAGAGUCGACUCCACUUUCAUUUACUUUACAAGCACAAUAACUCUCCUUGAUUACGAAUAUGUAAGGGCCCUACCUUUUCUCUUUCGGGUUAUCCGUAAUACUCCUUUUCAGUCCUCCUACUUGGCUUCUUAGGCUUCUGACUUUUACCUUUUCUUGUUCUGCUGUCUCUCUGGCUGAGUGAGCUUCUCUGCUCUGUGUUGUUCUCAGUGAACUAGGAAGAAAAUAGACAUCAUUGGAUCCCCGCUAUAGACCAAAUGGAACUUAGUUAAUCCCCCACUGGGUUGGAUUCUCUGCAUUGAUAGCUUUAGUCUACCCUCCCUUCCCCACUCGCCCGCCCUUCCGCGUACUACUAUUAGAAUACAACCACUGCUAGUAAGAAUGCAAUUAGCGCCUCUCAUACCAGAACUUGGAACCAGGACUUUGACUCAUAAUAUCAGAAUAGGACUAGCGCUUCUAGCUCUGUAGCUCCUGUCUUCCAUUUUCUAUACACUAGAUAUCAAACUUACAUUCCUUGACGAAAGUCUUUAGUUCGGCAGCUUCGUUCUGUUGAUCCUGUCUGCAAUUCUUUGGCCCUUAUAAUAAUUGCUAGCGCGCCUACUCACAAGACUGCUUUUCCUGUCUUUGGUUCUGAAACUACUAACUAUAGGUCCCACUGCUUCAUCUAAUCCUGAUACUUUGUGGAGGUGUUUCGGCUUCCCUUCCUGGCUUUUAGCCUACCGCUCCGGUAUCUCGUUUUUUAGUUCGCCGCUCCUUUGUAUGCCCCGUUGCUUGCUAGCCCGCCCCUCCUGCAAUUCCGUGUUUCUGUCCUUUCUCUGUCUCUUACAUAUGCUUAUUAGUUUGACCUACUCGUUAGUUACUUGGUGAGUGGAGCUAUUAUGAAUCAAGAAUUGGACCGGCGCUUCUCUUUCCUGUAACUACUAUACACACCUAUAAGCCUGUCUGCACUAACUCCUAUUCUGACUACCCUGCUGAUCAGUCACCGAGCAAGAUAACCUAUCUUCUUUUGUGACUCCGCUCCCAAUGCCUAUGCUCCGUUUGAAGUCUGUUUCCCUUUACUUUGACUUUCGCUCUUCCUCUAUCAACUGUUAGAAUCAAACGAAUACUUAAUAAGCAUAAAAUACAAGAAUGGAGCUACUGGACUUCAAUCUUUCUCUAUUGAUCCCGGGUGUUUAAUGUUAGCCUGCCAUGCCUUUUUCUUACCUGUAUUCUUGUGCUACUGAUUUAGAUCUUUGCUUUAAUGCUAUAGUAGUAACUUGCCUCUUGAACUCCGAUACAUCUACUAGUACAAAUACAUACCUCUUUCUCUUACCUCAUAAAGUGUAAAUUACCCGGCUGAGAAUCGAGACCUCUGUAAACUCAUUCCAUUCCAUUCUUCAUCGGAUUUCGGUAUACCUCUCCUACGGCUCAGCUAACUCAGGCUAAUAAGUAAGUUUCUGGACACCUCGUAUCAAAGCUACCGAAAAAGGACUUAGGCCAAGCAACAUAGUCAGCGGCAGGAGCGGUGAAACUCUGGAACUCUAGGCGGAUUCAGCAGUAGCCAUUCACUCGAUCGACAAAAGGAAAUGCCCGAUGGACUCCUUCUUCUCUUUUUUCUUAGUCAAGUCAACAGUCUCAUCUCCAACUGAAUGAUCGGGCGUACUACGACUAAGAGAAUACGGGAAUGGUCCAAGAUCCGGAUACACUAAACCCUCUCCGACUGCAGACGAAGAUCGAGUUCGAAUAGAAAGUAUCCAAGGCAGGAAGACAUCAACAGAGUAAGCAAUCGAAGACUUCGAAGCUCUAAGAUAGAAGCUGCUUUCCAAGAAUCACCAGUCCCACGCUAUACGACGACAACUGAACCAUAGAAGGAGGCGGACGUAAUGGACCAGACAGACCAGAUGAAAGGCAAGCGGAGUCAUUCGACCCUAAAGGGGGCCUCGAAUGCUUACAAGACUCGCCUGAAUUGGACUACCAUAAACUAGCCCGACAUACUACUUUACGCAAUUUGAUACAUCGAAAGCGCACCAACCACAUAAGGUUCCACACCAAGAUCAAAUGAGGGACCACUAGUGGCAUUUCUCAUAUACGUUGGUUGGACCACUGCCGGAGAGAAAGGCUGACCCUAUCCAAAACCCUUAGCACAAUAAUAGGUGGGGGGUAUGGCGAUCCAACUACUACCCGCGGAACAGAGAUCCUUUCCAGUCAAGCUAUCCUCACUCAACAAGGGGAAUGAUUAGAAUCCAGCGGGGGUUAGUAAAAGACUAGGCCAAUGGUGCUCCACCAGCAACCUCUUACCCUCGUUCAACGAAGAAAGUGCAAUCCGUCCUUUCUUAGGGUUAGCUCUUACACAUUCUCCUUAUCAACAUCCAGGAUAUGAUUUGGACAAAAGAAUCACCAGUCCCCCACCAUAAAAGAAAAACCAAAUAAUGGAAAGAAACCUAAAAGAAGAUGUCCUACAACCGCAUACACAUACCCUCGAUACAAAGCAAGAAAGAAAGCAAACUCAGUCCUCGCCUCAGGUGAGCCAACCUUUCAAGCAAGAAUCUACUUAAACCACAAAGAAGAUAAUCAUUAUAUGAGAAAGAGCUUCAAAGAUAAGUGUAAGAAAUCCGGAUUUCGCUUUUUGAAUACAACUACAUUUCCUACGAGACGGAUUUAGGACUGACGGAGAGUUUGUUACUAGUUGUCAAGCCCUACAUGAAUUAGCACAAGGAUUAGUGCUUUCUCCCGGUUGAGUAGAUUUAUUCGCUUGCCUCGAAGACUGGCAUUAGGCCCCUUACUUAUGAUAGGAUUGAUUCGAAGCAAAGCCUUCUCUGGGAGAUGCUAGAAGAAAAGACUAGAAGCGCCCGGGGGGGCAAUUACACAGGCUAGCAGACAACCUAUAGCUAUUCCCUUGCAACAACCAAAAAUAAGUAAGCCUUCCUUCCAACAAUAGUAGGGUUUGGAAUGCAUACGGAAUGGAAAGCUAGAACGAAAGGGCAAGCAUCAGACAUAGGGACUACGGGAUAUACGUAAUAGCGGGACUAAGAGAUUCUCAAAACUAGUAAAGAAAAGGCCCCUUCGUAGACUAAGAAAGUGGGCAAUGGGGAUAGACCUUAAGCCUUCGCUUUUUCGGAAUACGGGAGGUAGUAAUGGGCGGAAUAAGUGGGCUGGCUGGGUGGAGAUAUAGGGAAAUCUAAGUAAGCGAUCUCAGACAUCUACAGAGGAAAUCCAAAUUCUUCCUGGAGAAAGAUUACAACACAAAUGACUAAAAAAGGGGCAAAGCCAGAAAUCCAAUCUAUUCUUUGCAAGAAAUCCAAUCUAUUCUUGACUUUUCUUAAGUAGGAAAAAGAGAGAAAUCAAGCAAGGAAUCCAAUUCGAGCCUUUGUUACACGCCAGGAACGGAGCACUCGCUAAAGGAUAUUCCCUUCCUUGCAGCACUUCAAAAAGGAGUUUCACAGACUCAAACAAAAGGAACUCGCUUACAGGACCGGCAUAGGGCGUUAGUGCUACGGAUUACUUACUAGAUGGAAUAGGCUUGUCUGACCUCUCCUUCCUUUCAUCUUUGGCAUCUCUCUUCUCUUAUGAUACCUUACCACUUUAGGGACUACCGGAAUCGAAUAAGACUGGUAGGAAGACUUCAAGGGCUUGGAAUGAUUACUUUAACCUAAAGCCGUUACAACCUUCCAUUCACUCACGGAACAAUAAUAAAGCCGUUACAACCACACUUCCAUUCACUCACGGAACAAGAAAAACACUUGAAGCCGCGGUAAACAGAUUUAUGUCAUCUGCACCUUCCAUCAGGAGGAUCAAACUCAUCUUUUCUAUUCCUUCGCAGAAAACAGACCCCAGGAAUGCUUGCUGUUAGCUGGUAAGGGAAAAAGGUUUGGGGACGAAGGGAAUCCGACUAUGGCACUCAAACGACUAAGACGAAUUCCGUCGAUUUGGACACUAUUCCUACUGCUACUGCGAGAGCUACUGCAGUAAGGAAGGAAUGCAUUCGCUUUCCACCAACCUUGUUUGGGGGGUUUUGACCUUGAUUACACGACUUCUGCUUCUCUCCCUCUUUUUCCUGUCCUAGAAAUCCGGUAAAGAAGUAAAGUAAACAAGCAGUGAGACAUCUCCUUAUAUUAUUUAUUAAUCAUUAAGUAGCACUUUAUUGAAAGCCGAGCAGAGCAGAGACUCGCUUUUUUCUUUGUACCGAAAUGAAUCAUAGGGAUACAUUAUUCGCGGAUUAUUCUUCCUUAUGAUUCGAGGCGAGGCUCAUAUGUCGAAGAGGCAAGGAAGAGGAUCCAAUGACGUGAUUACAGGGGCUGAUUCCGCGUGAUACUUAUAGCCAUGUGUUAGAAAAGGUGUCUAAGAGACUUAGUUCUUUGAAGUCUAGCUCUUUCUCUUUGGCAGGUCGAAUUACCUUCAGCCCAGUCUGUUUUAACAGCAUUGCCUACUUCUCCUCUAUUGAUCUGCACGGCAGGGAGUUGGGGCAAGAACAAGUGAAAGGUGCUUCUGAAGCUAAUGUGGUAAAGUCGAAAGUCAGGGGUAUUCGUUCCAAGUCGCAGGUAUUAGAGAUAGAGAUUGGUAACAACCCUAGAGUGAAAGGCUUAACCGAGUAGUAGGAAUCUCUGUCCUGUGCCCUUAAUUAAUGCCAUAAAGAAGGGAACAACCAUCAAGAAGGAACCAUAUAAAGAUGUUAGGAAGAAAUGCAUUCGUUGGACAGUUUCCGAGUAUCAAUGGAAUUAUGGCUAUCAGAGGAGUUUCCCCUGCCUUAUCAGACUCUAAAUAAGGGUUGAUGCAACUCGACUUGAUUGAGGCUUUACCGACCCGCUACUUAUGAGUUCCCCCACUUGAAGUUAAUCUGGAAAUUGGAUCUAUGGGGAGCACCCGUAUAAGUCAUAUUCCCUGCCUCAGAGACUUCUCUUUAUCUUUAUCCAUCCUGUCUACUGCUUGAGUAGACUUAUCAUUUGCUAUUGGAUACGGAACUUGCACUGCAGAUUCUCUAACUACUGCAUUCUGUUGAAACUGCUUCCUCGCCGGAUAUUGCUUAUGAACCCGGUUUUGAUCCUGGUUUUGAUCCUGACUUGCAAACUAGACUUUCUUAUGCUCCGAUACCUCUGUAAACUGCCAAGCUAGUGACCGAUUCCAAUCUUUCGAUAAGUCAAAUGAGUAACAAGUUCUUCUAUACCAUAAGUAGAUGUAGGCUCGGGUGCUUGUGUUGGUGGUGCUGUUCUAAAGUCUGCUCGGGCUGAAACAAGGUAUGACCCAUUUUCUGCAUCUAGUAUAAGGCAAGUAAUUGAACUACAAACUCGGAACCAGGAUUAGAUGAAGCAGUGGGACCUAUAGUUAGACCAGACCCGAGCCCCAACAAGCCGGAACUAAACUCAUUCGUAUAUGAGAAUAGGCAGAUUCAAAGAUGGGUACUACUAUUUGUAGCCGUAUUCGGAUAAGUAUUGGCAUGAGUAUAAUAAGAACAAGUCUCCGUUAAACAAGUAUUUGUUUGAGUAGCUGUAUCGGUAGUGAGAUAUAAGUAGUCAACUCAUCAACUAGAUAUAAGUAGUCAACUCGGAUUGAAGGAAGUAGUGGUAUACUAAAACAAACAAGUCAGAAAAAAAGGCAGUAAUUAAAAGACUACAAGAGGGGUAGGCUCGGUUGGUGGUUUAAGUCACCAAGCAACUACUAAUGACCAAGCCACGGAUAGACAAGUAGGCAAGCAGACAAGAAACUACUAAACAAGCAAGGGCGACAGGGCAAGGGGAUCAAUUCUGGAACUACCUCCUCUCAUUCUCAUUGUUACUGCUUUCAUUCCCACUACCACUAGGUUAAGUCUGUAACACCUAAGCUUCAGCCCGAGCAUACCCAGCAUCUGGUUUGCUAGCCGUGGUUUGAUUCCGAUACUGCUUAGGUCAAUUCUGAGUUAUACUGGGUUGAUUCUGUGGUUAGAUACCUUAGCUACCAAUAGUGACAUCCUAGCACUUGUUUCGGUGGGAAUGUAGCUGCUUUAAGACUUCUACUGACUAGCUGCCCCCUGGCUCUUAUUCUUGGACUCCCGGGUUUUUUGAUAGCAAAUAGAGAAAGUGGUUAACUCGACCUCCGCUCUGUAAACUCAUUCUGUAAUUACUACUUAUGAGCUUGCUGGCUUUUCUCUGAUCCUAAACCCCUGGCUCUGGCUCUGCUUCCUCGCCUCAAUCCACUCCCUUCCCUUACGCUGGACUACUACUAGUUGGGGCUCGGAAUAGCUUACCACAAACACAUAGCCAGUAUCAGGCGCAUCUACCGGAGUCAACUAAUACAGAUGCAACUGCGACAACAAAUACAGAUGCAACAGGCAAGGAAGCACUAACGGGAGCAAGAGGAGAAUAAAGAAGCAAGAUCUAUCUGGAAAGGAGACAGCACCAACCAACCCUCUAUCCUCUACCGUCAAGCUACUACUAAUCAAGCUACGACUAAGUCCUUUGUUGGAGGCUUUGAUACCGAAGCUUGAGAAGGAAUAAGGAACUAAAGGAAGGCCAAGUGGGAAGGGCCAAGCUACUCACUACCCUUGAAAGGCUGGAAACCAAACAACUCACUACUUGUUCUAAAGUGUAGUAGGCCUAUUCGACGGCUAUGAAGGUAGAAAACCACAGAAUCCAAUUCGUCACUGACAGAAACACACGCACCCGAAACUUCCUAUAGGGGCCUAUCCGUAGUCAACUCAUUCCAUUCCAUUCUUCUUUAUUACGCCAACCCAUAUGCCCUGUUUAUAGGCUUUCAAUGCAUUAGAAGCUCUCUUAGGCGUAUGACAUGAGAAUUAGUACAUCAAACAUCAGAAGUGCUUAAAUAGUUCAUUUCUUCUUAAUCAAAUAGACCCUUUGCCUUUACUUACCUUCAAGCUGUCUUCCACCCUUUAUUUAAUAACGGAUUUCUUUGACUACUGAGUUCAAUUACCUCAUUGGUAGCCGUUGCUACUGAUUCCACUUUACCACUCCACUCCUUACCUUACCCUUACUUUCGAACAGGAACAGGUGAUUCUCUUUCUUAUCUAUCCCUAAAUUAGUAACAAUUAUAUACUUCCAUUUGUAACAUUGUUACUUAGUUUUAGUCAUAUCAGUCCCAAGUUCUUCUAUACCUCUGGCACCCGAGUGAGUAGUUUCAUGAAAUACCUUAUCCGGCUUGUCUUAUGGCUCUGUACUCUUUACUACUCGUUUACUUGUUUGGGAUGAAACAGGACUCCUACUUGUCCACUUCAGACUCACAGUUUUCGGCCCUCUCUUAUCUUUCCUUCCAACCUAGCCGAGUUCUCUUUCCCCGCGAAACCAGUCCUACCUUACCCAGCCUAAUGGAAAUACUAAGUCAUUAGUUACGACUACUUGACAUGCUGAGAAUUAAUACCUUAGUUUAGGUAGGCACGGGAACCCUCUUUUCCUUGGUCAACUAAUACAGUUAGGGUCUCCAUUCUUCUCAUUAGAGGUAUCCGGUUCGAAGCAAGUAAAGAGCAACACAGUAGAUCGGCAGUUCCAGCAUGUAAGGAUUGGUCACAGAAUUCAAAUAAGUAGUUAGAGCUUUAGAGCUAGCAAGUCUGGAUCCGAAUCAUUGGUUAAAGAAAGAGAAAAGUACCCGUUUUUGUUUGAGAAUGAAAGCUAGGAGAUAUAGUCAGGUACCAGCAAUGAAAGGAUCGGUGUGUUAAGGGGACUGACUUGAGAACAGCUGAUGAAUUCUCUGAUCUACUUCCUUCACACUCUCCUUGAUUCACUCUUUUAGCCGAGAAAACAGAGGCGCUAUAUGCGCUUCAACAGAAGUGGGUAACCAAUUGUCCCAUGAAGACAGGACUCAGCCCUUACCUCUAUAGCAAGCACCCUUGCCCCGCAAAUAAUGAAUAUCUUAUUUACUUGAAGUGAAGCUAGCUAACCUGACUAGUCCUUGCUUUAAGAAGAGAAAGAAGGCUUAUCGGAGUACGAGCGAAAGAAUGGCAAGAAGGCAACUCGUGUUCAGCUUUCGUGAGUGGUGUGAGUUCCACUUGUUGAAUUGAGUUAGGAAACCUCCUUAUUAAAGGUUAAAGGACAGAGAUAGGGUUAAAGGACAGAGAGAGGCAGAGUUUAGUAUAAAUGAGUACAAAGCAAGCAAUAAAUCCAAUAAGUUGUUGAGUUCGUGCUAACUAACGUGUUAUGAUUUGGAGUUUUGGGUAGCCAUUAGAUUCGUGAGUUCCUGAAGCCGUUGUUUAGUGAGUUAAGGAGUAGAGUUCCGUUCGCCCUUGUACGUUCGAGUGUGCGGGGUGCCCUUAUUUAGCUUAGGUGCAAGGUUACUACUAUCUAUGGAUAGCUAGAUGAUAUUGCUGGUUGACUUCUGGUUUACUUGACUUUCACUGGCCCACAACUCUAUUGGCCCAACUCUCUUCUAUUGGCCCAACUAUCUUUACUGCUAGGUUAAUGCGAUAGCGGUAUCGUCUAAAGUUGAGUAGAAAGUAACGUUAAAGUAUAGUAUAGAUUACGGUGCCUCCGCCUCAUAGUAAGCAGUCAGCAGUGAGUUUAGGGGUGCGCCUAUGAUAUGAGCUUUGGCUUUGGAGGAAAUGAAGCAACUACGGAAUCUUAUCCACUAAAAAAGUAAACAGAACAAGCAAGGGAACUAGCAAACAAGCGAACAAGCCUAGAAGUCAGCUGUGUUAGGUUCAUCCUAGAGAAGAUAGUAAGUAGUAAGUUUCAGUUAGGUUCCGCCCCUACCCUAUAUAAGUUGUUGUGCGUGAGUUAGCUUUAAGAAGAGAGAAGGGAAUUGAGCUAUCCCAGACUCCACUCGGUAUUCCACUAUCCCAGCAGAGCCAGCAGCUUGUUGAAAGAAGUAUUUGUUUCGGUCGGCAAGGAAGCAGUUAGAAUCUGUUCUCUUGCUUAUAAAAGAGAGAAUGAAAGUGAGCCAUAGAAUCCUGUAUGUCUGCUUGGCCCCUACUUAAUCCUAUCUAUUCUUAUUAAGGAUUGAGCUGUUCUUAUUAAGGAUGGAUUGAGCUGCUCUUAUUAAGGAUUUAGUUGAGAAAGAGAAAAGCUAAUCGGUGAGGGCAAGCGAGUAGUUUCUUUCUUUACCAGUAGUUUCGAGUUGCUAGUCCCGUAGUUGGCGAUAGGAGAGUUCUUGUGCUCGUUGCUUGGCCCUUUUCUUCGAAUAAGAUAGCUCCACAGUAAAGAUCACUUGCCUCAAUCAGCAAUCAAUCUGCUUUUUCCUUUGUAUGCCUUCCUUCGGCAAAAGGAAUUAACGAUUCUCCCCCUCUGGAAGGGUAAGGUUCCAAUUGAUAGCUAUUCUGGCAUUCCUAACACUAACAGAAGCAUUUACUAGCCUGAGAGGUCUGGAUGACAGGAAAGAAAUAAAAAGACGUUACCAAAAUAGGGUUCAUUAGCCUCCAGCCGAGGGAGAAUUCUGGCUUGUUCCUCCAAGUCGUAUAUAUAUAUCUAUAUAAUAUAGAGUUCGUCCAUUCGGGAAGGGGAUGGCUGCCCACAUACAUGAAUAGAAUCAGAGAUCUUAUAGACUCCGGAUUGAUACUAUAGGACAUGGGAACCCAGAGAAAGAAGGAUUUUGACUCUAGAGGACAUAGGAAACCAGAGGUUAGAGAACGAGCAAAGGCAAAAUAUAGUAAGCAACCACAUUCUUGUUUAGGGAUGUCUUGCCUCUCUUCAAUGGUUGCGGGAAAGAGAGAAGGGUUCAGGGAAUCUGAAGGUAUAGCUUAGAACACCGACUGCGCUAAAGGAAGAAUACCGGAGUGGCCCGUCCAAGAACCGAUGAUUUGCGCUUUACCUAUAUGGAAUUGAGUAUAGUGGUAGUCGAAAGGAGACGCACUACUUACUGCCGAACACUGGUUCCUGUAAGUCUGGGUCUAGGGCAUCUGGUCCCACUAUAGUUUGCUUCAGGCGGUAGCGCAUCUCCGUCUUAAGGGAGGCGGCAACAAUAUAACCUUUCUUUUUGGCUGUGGACUUUGAUAGCAUAAGACCACGUGGAAGGGUAAUGCCAUAAAGUUCCCCUGGAGACCACGGAAAAGGAAGCGCCUAGUGGCUAAGUAGUUCAGGUCUGGGCCAAGUAUGGAUAUAGCAGGCAUCGAAAAGGCAUUGGCUCACACAGUCCAAAACAAGCUCCUGUACCGGCACUACCAUUAGAGUUCGAAGGUUUAUACCUAUACUGGGGCAAUCUCAUGAAUUGGGUGGGAAUUCCUCUUAUUCAAUCCAUUGUGCCUAGGCGUGUGUGGAGAAGUAAAUGUAUGCCCGCGCAUUCAUAUGUUCGGGUGUGCAUGCCCGCAAGGUUCGGCUGUUUUGAGACGUACGCUCGGCCUAUUUCUUGGUGGAUCAACCAGUGGCUGCUAGAAUAGGUCUUAGUGCUCCAUCAAAGCAGGAAUGAUCUGUCAGUUGGGUAUAACAUGGAAAGCAUUAAUAAGGCAAUCAACAUUGUGAGUGGAUUAGUCAGUUCCUCUGUAUGAAGCCAUGAGAGCAUGCCAAGGAUAGAUUAACGAUGAAACCACAAAAAGGCAAUACUUCCUCUGCUAUGGGGCGAAAGAGAAGAUAAGAAUCGACUUGCACAAAAAAACCUCUGCUGACCCUUACGAAACUAUUCUUUACAAGCUCUUCACCUUCCAUUAAGAGAGUUCUAGUAUACCACCAAGCAUAGAGGUCUAUUAUCACGUUCUUAUUGAUGGCUCUUUAUUGAAUCGUAAGCUCCCUUUGCUUUCACAUGACAUUUGAUGGUUAUUAUCUAUGCACCUUCUACUUUAGCCAGAUGACUUUUCACUUUCAUUCACUUUCUGCAGCUAGUCAAGCAAGCACUAUUGCAAACUCCAACUAUCAAAACCGUUUAUGUCAAGGUUAAUGAAUGAUUCCAGGAUGGGGGAAUAACCAUAUUCUUUGUUGGCUCGCGAUCAAUGGCUCUAUGGACGUAUUCGUAUUCUAUUGUUCGAAUUUCAUGCACGCAUGCGACCUAGAAACCCACCCCCCUCUUUCCUAGACCCAUGUCCUAUUCUCCACAAGCUGGACUCCCAGCCGAGCAAGAUCCACAAUGUUCGAAAGUUGCUUUGAAGGAAGGCUAUACCACCAAGCCAAGCUCUCCCUGAGGAAAAAUAGACUCCUCUUGAGACGCUAUAGCUAUUGCUGCAGAGCCUAGUUGAACCGAUGAAACCGAAAUCCGUUAUCGUAGUUGGACCAGCGUCACUGGUAUAGUAGGCUACCUACAUAUGCCCAGAAACAGGGAGUCGGGUGCUAUUCCAUAGUUAGCCAGAUCUAGUGUAUUACAUGAUGUGCUACGCCUUACCUAUUCUUUUAUUAGUAGGUGAACUAGAAUCGUACCGGGGUCGCACAGAACGAGAAACAGUCAAGUUAGCCUAAAAGCAAGGUGCUGAAAGCCUAAGACCUAUUUUAGCAAGUAAGGAUCAUAGGUAAACUACAGACCGAAAGGACCAACUCUUAGGCUAACAGCAAAGAGAGGUAGGCGCAAACAGGAGAUAUAGCCUGAAAGCGGGAAGCGCUAGCGCUAGUGGGUUAAGGCCCAAAGAGAGGUAGGUUGAGAAGCAGGCUCGGUUCUGUAAAUGAAGCCUGAUUUCUGUGUUUUAGUAUUAGAAGCUGUAGACUAUAAGUCCAAGAACUCAACAUAGGCAACAGUUUUAGAGCGAGUAAAGCUAAGAUCAGGAUCUGUAAGCUAUAGCCUGAAAGCGGUAGUGCCAGUCUCAUAUGUAGAGCAGGGUUCGAGGUAAUACAGUAGAGCAAGAUCAGUAUCAGUCGGGUAAGAGUGAGUUGAGAGUUCUCGUAUGAAGGGUCGUGUUUCAAUCCGGUAGUAAGUAGCACCAUUCUUUCCAGUUUACAGAGCCGUGUUUCAAUCCGGUAGUAAGUAGCACCAUUCUUUCCGUUAGUAGUAACAUUCCUUUUAUGGGGAGUUCGCGGUUCUUUAACUAACAAGUAAGUAUGCUAGGGCAAAUCCAUAUGUUAUAGAUCGGGGGGCAGUAAGCCUAGAGACAGUAAAGCAAGGAUCCUUAGACAGUAUAGAGUAGAGCAAGGUUCGAGGACAGUGUUUGAUUCGCCAGGUAGUAGUUCAUCCUUAAAAGCACUAGUGGAGUUUGAGUUUCUAGUUAAGUUAUUUAGUAACUGUUCGAUGUUUGCUCCUAUCGGCUCAAUUAUAAUAGUACACUAGGACUAGGGUUUUGGAAGAAUUAGUAGAAUUUCUAACUUAAGAGGCUAUGUUUGAGUACACAAUCCAGUAAGCAAGCCUUGUUGACAUCAGUAUUGGUAUGAAAGCAAAGGAGCGGCAGCCCGGGCAAUAAAGAGAGAACUAAAGAGUAAAGUAUCGUUAGGCACUGUUGAGAGCCCAGUUACGAGUUAAAGUAUUUCCAGUAUUAGCUCAAUUCUGAUUAAUAGUGAUUUGAUUCUGAGAAAGGAGGUUAUAGCUUUAUUAUGAAAUACAGGCACCUGAGUUAGGAGUUGCGAGUUAUGUUCCAUACGGGUACCGACAAGUUACUAUUAGACAAGCAGGAAAGCAGACAAGUAGGCAAGUAACUCAGGUAUUUAUUCUAAGAUCCUAUCAUGUAGGCUGGCUGGGUGUUAGAGAUGAUAAAGUCAGUUUCCCCACUAUUCCAAAGCAAAGUCAGUAAAGUAGAUUUAUGUUCUUGUGUCGAUUAGGGGUGAGUUUUGCCUCGUUAAGGGGUCGGGUCGGGUCAUUCCAAUUGACUAGCUAAUAGUUACACAUCAUACAUGUCUUGGCGCGCCGUUGCUUGUCUAUCCGUUGCUUGGCCCCCGCUUCAAAGCAAGAUUCCUCACUUAUAUACUUUGUGGCUCUCAAGAUAUACUUUGGCUCUCCAGAUUCAAUCAAUUCUUUCACUUCUGCUUACGAAGUUCGAAAUCACUGUUUUCGUAUCAGCGCCCUUUUACCAGUCUAAAUCUUCUCUUAAGUAAAUCUCUAAUUGAAUGAAGUAUGGAUGCGGGUGCCUAAGGAAGCCCAUUAAAUACGUUGUUAGAGGCGUUGGCAGGAGCUGUGAAAAAGCAAGUAGUUCAUCUCAUUAUGACUAAACUGCAGGCUUUGUGUUUAUGAAUUGGUUUACUUGAAGCAAGAGUUCUCCGCCUUACUUAUGAAAUUAAGACUCAUGAAGGCAAAGAAAUGCAGUAGACCCGCCUCACUGAUAACUCAAUGGUAUUUUGUGAUUAGACUAACCUAAAGAUACAGAGAAAGAGCUAGAAAGGGGAAUGUUCUUCUUCAAGUAUUGUUUCGGGUGUUGGCAGUUAUAAAGAGAAAUACGGAAUUGAGUAUGGCCAAAAGGAACCGAUUGCCCUCGACUCCCUUGCUUAAGUCUUAAGUACCAAUAUAAGAAGCAGGGACGGUGGAGCAAGGGUCGAUGUAAUUGAGCUACUAGAUGAUUUCCCCAACUCGUAUACUGGGUGCUUUAAGGCUGUUACUCACUAGUUUCUUUCUGUAACUCCCGACUUUGAGUGCAAUAACUUACCAUAAGGACUAGCUUACUCUCCUCAAGCGUAUACUACUUCCAACUGAUAUCCGGUCUGAAACUCGUCACCAAAACCCGGUCAAAAAGGUAGCAAAGGUG